This 427-nucleotide ribosomal RNA is filed under the name uncultured bacterium. Its description in RNAcentral is "bacterial SSU rRNA". It matches the Rfam family "Bacterial small subunit ribosomal RNA", at positions 355 to 774 of the family's 1533-position model. The record is from RNAcentral.
UGGGGAAUUUUGGACAAUGGGCGCAAGCCUGAUCCAGCCAUGCCGCGUGCGGGAAGAAGGCCUUCGGGUUGUAAACCGCUUUUGUCAGGGAAGAAACGAGUUUCUCUAAUACAGAUACUUAAUGACGGUACCUGAAGAAUAAGCACCGGCUAACUACGUGCCAGCAGCCGCGGUAAUACGUAGGGUGCAAGCGUUAAUCGGAAUUACUGGGCGUAAAGCGUGCGCAGGCGGUUAUAUAAGACAGAUGUGAAAUCCCCGGGCUCAACCUGGGACCUGCAUUUGUGACUGUAUAGCUAGAGUACGGUAGAGGAGGAUGGAAUUCCGCGUGUAGCAGUGAAAUGCGUAGAUAUGCGGAGGAACACCGAUGGCAAAGGCAAUCCCCUGGACCUGUACUGACGCUCAUGCACGAAAGCGUGGGGAGCAAACA